Molecule: small RNA, 141 nt
Filed under: Brenneria izbisi
Lineage: Bacteria; Pseudomonadati; Pseudomonadota; Gammaproteobacteria; Enterobacterales; Pectobacteriaceae
Description: RtT sRNA
Rfam family: RtT RNA
About the family: This family represents a bacterial cis-regulatory element known as RtT RNA.
Source: RNAcentral
UUGGCCCUGUGAGUGAGUCACAGAAUGAGACGAAUAACCUGCGUUCAGGUUCGCGCCAAGCGUAGCGAGAUAACAACGCGUCGGCGUUGACCCCGAAGGGGCGACACCAGCAGAGGCCGAGUCAUCCUGCACGACCCACCA